AGAACACUCCGCGAAGGUGUUCCUGAACUUCAUUUCCCAGAGGCUUUAGCUAACGUGUACUUUCGCCCUGCGAUGGGCCGCACAUUUUCGCCGCCAGUCUUUUGCUCCUGUUUCAGGCAAAACUUGGAAGCAGCCAGAUGUCCUUCAGUACAUGAAUGAAUACAUAAACUAUGGUACAUUCAGACAAUGGAACAUUCAGUAAGGAAAAGAAAUGAGCUAUCAAGCUACCAAAAAGGAAGAACAGAAGAAUAUUAAGUGCGUAUUGCAUUGUCAUGGACUCGAGGUUUUCUGCAGAGGAACACAACAUAAGGAGCAUCAGUUUGCUCAUUCACAUCUGGGAGGCAUGCUGUGCUCUGCAAAAUGUGAUUCUCAAAGUAUGGUUCCCAGACCAGCAGCAACAGAAUUUGGCAACUUGUUUAGAAAUGUAAAUUGCUUUCUGACUGCUCUGUGUUUUCUUUGAGCCUGUAUUUGUCUAUUUGGCAUCCAUUGAUCCAUUUGGCAUCGUUGAUCAGAGGGGCCAAACUAUAGCCAAAGUUAUUUACUUCUCCUGCUAUCCAGAGCCCAUACUUUGAAUGACCUCCUUUAUCUAACUCACACACUAAGCCAAUAUUUCCCCUGGGGUAAGUCAACUAAGGGCCAAAUAUCAGACAACCAGGGACAGCCUCUAUAUCCAAAGCCUGCCAGAAUUAUUCAAACUAGCCAAUUCUAAACUGUUUACCCUGAUCUGCCCUGCCUUUCCCAUGGAAACCCCAACAAAGACUUUAAUUUAUGCCUUCCUUUUCACUCCUUUCUGCCUCCUGGGUGACACUGGUACUUCCCAGUGUGGCCCUGCAUGGUGUGCUGCACUUCUCGUUUCUAGGGAAACUGUGAAUAACAUUAUAAUUUUCUUUCAAUGGCAUUGACCUCUCUGUCUUCACUCCAUCAUCUUUAUAAAUUAAGACCUGGGCACAAAUCACUGACAGACUUACCUGAAAUGAACAAUUCUAGUGAAAGCAUCUUGAGUUCCUACUUUCUUGAUUGUGGGAACAACAACAGCCUCGAUGGAGACUAUUUCUUCGAGGUUAUUUUGGGAACAAUUCCUGCAGAAUCAAAUUAGAACUGAUACCUUCCUCCAUCCCUCUCUUCUAAAAAUUUUGUAAGCCUCUAUAUUCUUUAUUAAUCCCGUUUUAUUUAAAAUAGUUUGAGAGGUUUUGAUUCUUAGGUACAGUUUUUUUAUUAUUUAGUUUGGCCGGGCACAGUGGCUCAUGCAUAUAAUCUCAGCACUUUGGGAGGCUGAGGCAGGUGGAUCACCUGAGGUCAGGAAUUCAAGGCCAGCCUGGCCAACAUGGCGAAACCUCAUCUCUACUAAAAAUACAAAAAUUAGCUGGGCGUGGUGGCGUGUGCCUGUAAUCCCAGUUACUCAUAGGGCUGAGGCAGAAGAAUCCUUUGAACCUAGGAGGCGGAGAUUGUGCCACUGCACUCCAGCCUGGGCAACAGAGUGAGACCCCAUCUCAAAAAUAAAAUAAAUAAAUCAAUUAAUUUAAUUAAUUAAUUUUUUUUUUUUGGUAGAGAUAAGGGUCUUGCUUCGUUGCCCAGGCUGUUGCCCAGGUUGGUCUUGGAUGCCUGGCCUCAAGUGAUCCUCCCACCUCGGCCUCCCAAAGUGCUGCAUUUACAUAUGUGAGCCACCACACCUUGCCUAAGUACAUUUUUAAUUGACAUAUAACACAAUAUUGAUACAGAAAGGUAUCUGUAUCAUAAUUAUACAGCUCAAGAAAUUUCACAAAGUGAACACACCUAUGAACCCAGAACUCAGACUGAGAAAUAGAACCAUCCCCACGAUCUCCAACAAGUCUCUUCAUGGCCUUUCUCAGUGUAAUUACCUUCAACAAUCACCUUCCUGAUUUCUAACACCACAGAUUUGUUUAGUUUGUUUUGAGCUACAGUACAUAUAAACAAAAGCAUGUAUGCCUUUGUGUAUGGCAUCACUUCAAUAUUAUGUUUGUGAGAUUCUUCCAAUUUGUGUGUAAUUGAAAAUUCUUUGUUCUUAUUGCUCUACUGUUCCUUUGUAUGAAAAACAACUAUCUUUUCUAUUGUUGAUGGACUUUGGACUGUUUUCAGUUUGGGACUAAAAUGUCUAGAAUAGUUUUGUUUCCUACAAGUGAACCCUGAUUCAUUUGUUUUACCUGAAUCUAUUCUGCCAUGCUUUGGUCCACACAUAUG
Molecule: long non-coding RNA, 2199 nt
Organism: Homo sapiens (human)
Lineage: Eukaryota; Metazoa; Chordata; Mammalia; Primates; Hominidae
Source: Ensembl